AACGUAGGACGCAAGCGUUAUCCGGAGUUACUGGGCGUAAAGCGCGGGCAGGCGGCUCGAUGCGUCUGAUGUGAAAUCUCCUCGCUCAACGGGGAGAGGCCAUUGGAAACGGUCGGGCUGGAGGGCAGUAGAGGCAGGCGGAAUUCCGGGUGGAGUGGUGAAAUGCGUAGAGAUCCGGAGGAACACCAGAGGCGAAGGCGGCCUGCUGGGCUGCAC
This 216-nucleotide ribosomal RNA is filed under the name uncultured bacterium. RNAcentral describes it as "partial 16S ribosomal RNA". It matches the Rfam family "Bacterial small subunit ribosomal RNA", at positions 524 to 739 of the family's 1533-position model. The record is from RNAcentral.